UCUAAACUUUCUUCCCCCUCCUCACAGAGGGAUCAUAAUCAGUUUUACAGGAACAGUUUCACAUUUGUCUGAAGCUGGCUCCCUCAUGUUUCCCUUCCCUUCCCUUCCCUUCCCUUCCCUUCCCUUCCCUCCCCUCCCCUCCCCUCCCCUCCCCUCCCCUCCCCUCCCCUCCCCUUCCCUUCCCUCUUCUUUCCUUUUCUCUUCUUCUUUUUCCUUCUCUUGGGAAACUUUAGAGAUUAAAUAAUUUUAAAGAAGCAUUCAGUUGUUAUGUGCUCAGCCCAAGAAUAGUCCAGACAAGCAGUCAAAAGUAUCUAAAAAAAAAAAAAGAAAGAAAGAAAGAAAAGAAAAGGUUAUUAAACUAUGUUUCUUCUUAUUGGCACUAAAAAGUAUAUCUACACAAUAGGCUGCAUAACGCUAUGAGGUGAGAAGAAAAGCCUUUAAUUUUAGGACGAAAGAAUAAUUUUUGUCAUGAUUGAGAGUCUUUAAAAAUUAGUUUACCAUAUAAAAAUGUCAGCCCAACAGUUUUGUUUGUUCAAGACCAGGGUUAAAUUUCUUAUGAUUCAAACUUCUUAAAUUUUUUAAUUUGGUUUUAUGAAUUAAGUAAAUUACCACUGUUUCCACAACUUGCUUUAAGUAAAAAGUUACAUGUAUAAAAUUGUAUUCAACUAAAUGGAAUGAAAUGACUGUUCAAAAGGUUUAAUUUUGUGAAAUUCUUUUUUUUUUUCGUUUUUAUUUUAUUUUAUUUUUGGGACAGAGAGAGACAGAGCAUGAACGGGGGAGGGGCAGAGAGAGAGGGAGACACAGAAUCGGAAACAGGCUCCAGGCUCCGAGCCAUCAGCCCAGAGCCUGACGCGGGGCUCGAACUCACGGACCGCGAGAUCGUGACCUGGCUGAAGUCGGACGCUUAACCGACUGCGCCACCCAGGCGCCCCAUAAUUUUGUGAAAUUCUUACAAUGCUACAAUGAUAGGCAUUUAAUGUGUUAGCUAUGUUAUCAUUUCCAGAUUUUUAACUAACUUCAAAACCUUAGGCAAAUCAUUAAUUUAAUUAAUAAAUAAUCUUUGGAUGUACA
RNAcentral lists this long non-coding RNA (1071 nucleotides) under Felis catus (domestic cat). RNAcentral describes it as "lncRNA (ENSFCAG00000051343.1)". Lineage: Eukaryota; Metazoa; Chordata; Mammalia; Carnivora; Felidae. The record is from RNAcentral.